GACGAACCGUACGAACGUUAUUCGGAAUCACUGGGCUUAAAGGGUGCGUAGGCGGCGCGACAAGUUGGGUGUGAAAUCCCUCGGCUCAACCGAGGAACUGCGCCCAAAACUGUCGUGCUCGAGGGAGACAGAGGUGAGCGGAACUUAGGGUGGAGCGGUGAAAUGCGUUGAUAUCCUAAGGAACACCGGUGGCGAAAGCGGCUCACUGGGUCUCUUCUGACGCUGAGGCACGAAGGUCAGGGGAGCAAACGGG
RNAcentral lists this ribosomal RNA (253 nucleotides) under uncultured bacterium. Its description in RNAcentral is "partial 16S ribosomal RNA". It matches the Rfam family "Bacterial small subunit ribosomal RNA", at positions 524 to 776 of the family's 1533-position model. The record is from RNAcentral.